Molecule: long non-coding RNA, 10862 nt
Organism: Dermacentor silvarum
Lineage: Eukaryota; Metazoa; Arthropoda; Arachnida; Ixodida; Ixodidae
Exons: 2
Source: RefSeq, a predicted model, not a curated record
CUCUUCGCUCAUCUAAAAACGACCCCCUUCUCCCUUCCUCGGGAUCCUCGAAUCGGGCACGCCGCUAUACGAAGUUCUUCGAAUAGCGUUUCGCCGGGCCAAGAGAAGGGAAUCGCGCGUUAUAUUCGCGCGCGGAGGGGUGAACGGGCGCGUAGAAAAGGGCGUAACGAGGCCCGAGAUGUCGUAACCGAAGAGCUUUCCCUCUCUCUCUUGUCCCCUCUCUCGAUGGCCGCGGGAUGUGGAAGCGAUCAAGCGACACGUGGCGCGACGUUUCGCGUCAAGUCGGCAAGGCUGCUGGAACGACGACGCUACGCGACAAGAGAUGGAGUCGGCGGCGCGCGUAUACAGAGGUCAACGCGUGCUAAUUAUCCUAGUUCCUAUAGCGGAACGAGUCUCCCAAGAUCUUUAAACGCUGCAUCAAGCGCACUUACUGGCACGCAAAUUCUCGACAGAUGGCUCCGUUGGCACCUUCGGAAAUCACCUACACCAGUUAACUCCUCUUACUAGGGUCGCUAAUUUGCCUAUCCCAGUAGAACUGCGUAAUCGUCAUUGCUGAGAUUCCACAAUGGUAUGCAUACGGUUACUCGUGUGCGCUGUUAAUGUACAACGCCAGCCUCCGUAAUUUUCGUACAGGUACUCUUGCGUCUAACGAUGCUAAGUACGAAUUCUGAUUAGUAAAGCGAAGUAAAAAAAAAAGAAACAAGAGAAAGACGAGAAUCUCCAUGCGUUGAUCGGGUAACUGUAAUUUUGCCCUCCCAGCAGUACAAGGAGCACGAAGGAAACGCAUUUACGCGACAAUGCGCAGAAAAACUAAAAGCGGAGGAGCGUAACGCGAUGAGCGAGGCGAGUGGGCUAUCUCGUGGCACUUAUUAACAAAAAUUAGGCCUACUGGAUCAACCAUCGCCACGAAGUCUUGUCAUAGACACAGAGAGAAAGCCUAGAUUAAUCAACACGCAAGUUUCUAGAAGACGCGCCACGCAAGCUCAGAAAAUACCAUUAUUGAGCAACGGCUCGGCUCCUAAUAGCAUUUGCUCGCUUCCGCGCGGUACAUAUCGUGACGUGAAAACAAUGCUAUUGCCUGUUUCGGUAAUUGCGGCAACUCAUACGCGCCAGUAAGUGCUGAGCAGUACACUCAGACGACGCUAAGAGAGAACGUAUAAUUACACGCCCUUUCCUUGCUUUCCUUCCUACUCGAUAAGUAGGCCACCGAUUAGCCGACCCAAAUAUUACUUUACACGCAGCUUCUUCGACUUCGCUUAGAGCACGAUCAAAUCGCGUUAUCUGCAAAUUCGCGCUGUUGUCAUCUGGUCCCAUAACAAGGCACCUAUACGAUAACCUGAUCGGUCGAUCGAAGCGCCGCCCUUAGAUUUUCUUAAGCGUCAUUUAUUUACCCUCCAUUCUCAAUAUUCCCACAGUCGAAGAGUAAAGCAUACUCUUCUCCACACGUUGCACAGUUCCAAGAAGGUCUCAAGUCUUCAACUCCUCGAAGGGCGCCGCGCCCCGGUCGUUUUGUAUGCACGACUCGUUCGACCCCUGGAAGCGCAUACGUAUAUACGCAGUGGAACGUGCGACGGGUUCAAAAACACGCCCGCGCGAAAAACGCGCGUUUCCUAACACCUCUUUAAAAAAAAAAAAAAAAAAAAAAAAACGGGCGAAACCUCUGCUCCUCUGGGAGCGGAACGGACAUUCAAUCCUACAAGUACAAAAACACCACGCGGCCAGCCAGAUGUCGCAGCGGUGUGCGUAUGUCGACGAAAUGCAAAUGCCGCGAUGAAGCAAGCAAACGACCGUGACGCGCCACGCAAGCGUAUACCUUGCGACGAGAUAAAGAAAAAGGAAAGAAAGAAACCGCUUACACAACGCCGAGCGCGCGGACGGAGUUUCACGCAGGCGAAAGCAGCCGACUCGGGAGAAGCGUUCAAAGCGCAGAGCAGAGUCGAAGCAUCCGUGUGAGAAAGAAAGAAAAACUGCGAGAGAAAAGGCCGAACGCUCUGUACACGCCGGUGUUGCUGUACGCCCUAUCAGAUUGCCAGCUUUCGGCGGCUUCGAUGCACAAUUAUGCGCCUGCCUUAUCUCUUGACUCUGAAUGAGCUUGAACGAAACCCAAAGAACAACCAUUAGCCGACUGACGCUUAUUCACGAAGCGAAAGACAUAAAAGCCGAAACGGGCAUUCAGUCGCAAUGCAGGGGCUGUUGAAUCCGGUGCUUCUCAAUGAGGACGCGAAAAAACCACAGGAACGACUACAGGGAGCUGAGCAUUACAAUUCUUAUCUUGGCAGACGAAAAUCACGCGGCGAAAGUGUACACGUACGAUUUUACACGUCCCGUGCUCAGUACACUGUGCUCAGCACACGCUCUGUUCUCGUUGCGUUUUCCCACUCAACUACAUCAACAAAGUAAGCAUAGCGAAAUUUUGGCAUACUAUAUAGUGAUUUGGAUUAUCAACCUGUGUGCGACACCGCGGCUGGAGUACUUCCUAAUCGAUUUCUUGCCCCUACACAAUAUAGUAACGCAAACAACAGAACAGCGCAUAUAUUCGGCGGCGACGGGGAACCUAUGGCUGAGAAGGAUCGUAUUACAUGCAAAGUCCAGGGUGCAGCUGGGCACCAAGUCGCGGGAUCGAUUCCCGGCCGCGGCGGCAGGAUUUCGCUUGUGUACUUAAACUAGGCGCCCGUCAAAGAACCCCAGGUAGUAAAGAUUAAUCCGGAGUCUUCCCACAACUGUUUCCUUCAUAGCACCCUGUGCAGUGUUUGUACGUUAAAACCCAAUUUGAAGUUUCUAAGCCUGCGUGAGAAUCAUGACAAGAUGUGCCAUUAAGUACGGCUGUAGCUCCAAGUCGAAAUGAUAUUUGAAAACUAGCACCAGUCACAGUUAAAUUACCCUAAAUCAUAAGCAAUUAUUUACCUCUGGGAGGUUGGAAAACAGCCGGAUAGCAGCACUCAAUGGUGAUCAAGUUAAAUUGUUACCGAACAAAGCGUUUCCGAUGACAACCUAUAUAGCGUCAAUAAGGAUAAUCCAGAAGGUCACAAGGAUGCACAGCCAGCCUAGGUGGCGCUGGCUCAGCGGCAAAAAGAGGACGCGAAUAAGUUCCCAUGCAUGAUAAACCGCCUACCAACCGCCGCAUAGCCUACAGUGGAUGUCGGUGCACGGCUGCGCUCAAGGUCGCGGUUUCGAUACAGGCCGCUGCGGCCGCAUAUCGAUGGGGACGAAAUGAAAACUAAAAAAAAAAGGGGGGGGGGGGGGAGGGGGGGGACUGCCUUGUACUUAAUUUAUGUGCACGUCAAAGCCCCCCAGGUGGUCAAAAUUAAUCCGGAGUCCCCCAUGGGGCUACGGCGUGCCUCAUAAUCAGAUCGUGGUUUUGGCACGUAGGACCCAAGCAUGAUUAAUUAAUGAAACCACCCUGACGCGCGCGGACCACUUGCGCCCGAUUUACCUCUAGUGAUAUUUGUUAUAAAACUCCACGACGAGCACAUGACCUCCUAGAUCAGGGGACGUAUUCUGCGACGAUCACUUUCGGCGACAGUGUCGCCUCGACGACAGUAUCACCGUCAGGCGCGCGUUGAUUGGCUGGUCGAGCGAAAUUGGAUGGCGUAGUGCUGAACCAGCCAAUCAGCUCGUCACAUUUUGCUCAACCAGCCAAUCAGCGCGCGCCUGAUGGCCACGGCGAUAAUAUCGCCGAAGUGGAUCGUCGCAGAAUACGUCCCCAGAUGGCGCGCGCCGCACGAACCUUGGAGCGCAUGGCAAGCAGCACGCAAUACGAUCGUCGCGAAACAGCGACGCAUGCGUCUACUUUAGGCGUUGAGCGUCACGCGACGCGGCAGUGCCGCAUGCCAGUAGCAGAGAGUACGCAAGCUGCGCAAAUCGAGGGCGACGCGGACAACCCCCGGCAGCGCCUCGCAAACACCCGAGGCAUGCAUGCACAGCCCGCGCACGGAGCUGGCUGCGUGUUCAAGCGGAGGAACGAAGGGCUCGCCCACUGCACGCUACUAAAAUUUCGCACCGCUAUCCAUUCAGUCGGCAUCGUGCGCGGGGCGAUCGGAAGCGGGCAGUGGAGGAGACCUUCUCCUGGCUCUUUUUUCCGAUUGGCUAACGCGACUCGCAGCCUUCGCUAUUGAGCACCGAGGCUUGGGCUGUACAUACGAGUUAUUGUAGAUGCAAUGGAGGCGAAGAAGAAGAAACGAAGACCAGAGCUGAAGCGGAAACAUGGCAAAAUAACAGGGCGCGAGAAAGAGACAGACAUCUAAAUAAGGAGCACUGAAUAAAGACUAACAACUAAAUAAAGACCAGGACAUGGCGCUUGUGGUGCACAUUCUGUCUUCGUCCUUUUCUUUUGCUUUCUUCGCAGCGCUAUAGUAUAGCUUUCACUGCACAACACGAAGUUAGUGAGAUGGUGUAGCUCUAGUUUCCGUUACGCUGCCGUUAACACGGGUAGUAGUAGCAUGCACGCACGGCUUCACUACAGGCUUACUUCCCCGAACGUCGCGGGGGCAACUUUACCGCAGAGCACUCACGUGUGCGGAAAAGCUGUAAAUUGUGAAGUCACGGAUACGCGACGAUUUCAUCGCCAGUGCCUGCGUAAGCUAGACUUACGUGCUCGCUUUCAAUGCAGGAACUACGCCCACGCGGAAAUAACACAACUAAACUUACUCGAAAGAGUUUCGUCAAAGCGGAUCGAUGCUUUCGCGAGAUAAAAAAAAAAAGGGGGGGGGGGGGGGGGUUAAAAUGACUCACGACAAAUGAUGACCUGCCUAAAAGCAGAAAAGCCAAAGGAUAUCUACGAAGAUUAAUGCACGGAAAUCUAAUUUUCAGGGAACAAGAGUUGGUAAACAGCCCUUGAAUCUCCGAAGGGGUACGUUUAUCUAUAGACGCGGUCCUGGGAGACACGGAUCAGGUGAAGGAAAGCUGCAAACACACAAGAAUAGGUUGGAGCGCAUAUAAUUAUGAGUAUACAUAAUAUAAUAACUGCGCUAUGCCAGUACUAAAUUACGGGGUCGAAACUUUGAGGGUAUAACAAACAAUAUUGAGAAAGCGCGAAUGACCGCGCGACGAGCGAUUGAACGGAAUAGGCCCGACGUUAACAGCCAGGAAGAGCGGAGUAUAUGCCUCGAAAUGGAGAUAAUCAGAGGUACGAAGGCGAUCUUCUAUAUUAACCUCGUCUUGCGUCAGCCGACCCCAUCUUAUGGCUGUGAAUUUGCCAGCUUCUAUAGUUGUGCUUGCUGUUUGGCUAGUUGGUGCAUGUCGAACAAUGAUGAACUCAAAGCCGAGAACACGAUCACAGAGAGGGGGGGACAAGCGCUCGUCCUGUCUUUACGUCCUCCUCUCUCUCUGUGGUCGUGUUUUUUUUUUUUUUUUUUUUUUGUCGCUAAAUUUAUUGUUCGCUGAUUGCAUUGCCCCUUGCGAAACGGAUGCAGAUGCUAUAAAUUAAGAAGAAAUUGAGUUGAGCGAGUCAUACAAAGCGUAGAGCAGAUAACCGCUGGUUCAUUAUCGUUACGCAAUGGUUGUCAAGAGACGGCAAGUCGACGCCGACUGAGGAUAAGCUGGUGCUAUGAGAUGAGAAAAUUGGAGGGCAUGGGGUGGUAUGUGUUGACAAACAAAAUUCAGAAGAUCGCUAGAGGAGGUCGUUCUGAGCAGGAAAUUAAAAUAACGUGACGUUUACUACUACUACUACUACUACUACUACUACUACUACUACUACUACUACUACUACUACUACUACUACUACUACUACUACUACUGUUGUUGUUGGUGGUGGUGGUGGUGCGAAGCAACCGUCAGAACGAGAUGACCCAUGCGCGAGCGCUUUCCGCGUUGAAAAUGUGAUGUUUUCCGCCCCAGGUUAUCGCUCAAAGUAACAAUCAGCUGGGGAAAAAAUGGGGGGGGGGGGGGGGGUUAGCACAGCUGUUCACCGCCAGUUAUUAGAGAGGUUAACACAAAACACGCAUACGAAGAUAUAGGCGCAGACCGUAAUAUUGAAAGGUGUUGCCACGAGUAUGAAUGAAUGAACGAAUGAAUUAAACAAAUAUAAAGAGAAACCUUCGUGACGACUAUAGGUCGCUGCCGAGACGCUUUUACGCCAACGUAAAAGUGGUACACAGGUGUCGUUUGGAAUACGUGCGCUCGUCGAUUAAAACGAUGUUACAAGAUGUCGCCGGGAAAGCUGCUGUUCGUCCGCGCCUUGCGGUAUCUCGGGUACACAUCUCUCCGCACGUCAAAUUUGGACGUUUCGCGGCCCCAGUGCUGGAGUCUCCCCUAGCGUUUUCUCAUUCCCGUCGCCAUGUUCUAUAUAUCCCGAUGAAAGAGCAACGUGUUUACAUGCGCAGCUGGACGCACGUGCAGCCCGGCCCUUCAUUUAUAUAUAGGCUCAACGUCGCCGUAUGCGGAUUGCGCUACGCGAGAACACCGUAGUAAUAUAUUAUUGUGGCGAUACAACAGACGCUUAUGAGACAUAUGGCGCAAAGGAUCGACAAAUACGGGCAUCUGGGCUUGGCACGAGCUGGUUACCACCUUGGGUCUCUGGCUGCGCUGCUCGUGAAAAUACAUCGUGGUUAUAGUUCCUUUGUUUGUAUCUAUCCGCAAGUAUGCCAUUUUUGUGUAGGUGCGGACGUAAGGAGGAGCUCCGCACGUAACAAUAUACAGCAAACCACUACUAACGCCCCGCACCAAAGUCAAAACUGUGCGCUCUAUUUACUUCCCACUACCGAACAAUGUUUCGCUCCUGUCACGAACAGGCCGCGAAAACUCGGCGCUCGGUGCAAGCGCACUGCGCACCGCGAGGGAACGGAACAACGGGAAGUAAGCGCAGAGGGAAGUGGCCCUCUCAACGCUGGCGCGCACAGUGUUGUUUCUUCGGCGGUGGCGGAUCUGUUCGCGCAAAACAAACCGGGGUUCCCUGCCAAUCAGAGAAGCGCCGCGUGCGUCCCCAAACGCAGUCGCCGGCGCACGAACCAGAACGAGUGGAAAACGGAUGGGGGCGAGGCCCGUGAAUAAAGGGAAGGGGGGAGGCACGGGAGCGAGCGAUCGAAAAAGGACAAAAUAGAAAGAAACGAAACGGAACGAAAACAUCGCGGCCCCGAAAUGGGCCGCCUCGCGGGAGAGUCAAUAGUACACACACACAGGGAGAGGCGCGGACUGGUAGUGCGCGCAUUACAUAUACACAAGAGCGGGGGGCCAGCCAGCGCUACGCCACGCGGCCGAGCGGGGGCCCCAUCUCCUGCAAAUCGACGUGGCGGCGCGCGAUCGAUAUGUGGCUGCCUCGGCAAGGUCGUCCUCAACCGGCGGCCGCGACCUUGGGGACGACCUCAGCGGAGGAGGAGGCUUUCCCCGGCCGCUGCUGCCGCCACCGCUACCCGGAGUGGGAACCCUUCCUCCUCGCCUGGAGUCGAAACACGGCGAGGACCCACGGUGAGUAGCGUAGCUCAGUAAUAAUUUAAGAAGGGCUCACGUUCCACACUGUACACUGGGCAAUACGACGCGGCGAGGAACACCGGAUUAUAUUGGAGCGAGAACUGGCAUCCUAAUUAACGUGCACCGAAAUAUCCGUAUACGAGGGCGGUCUUUAUCAUUAUUAUUUUAUUUUUAUCAUUACGCCCCCUAUCGCAAUGCGACGCCCACUAAGUAAAUUGGAAUAAAAUGCGCGCGCUGAAGUUGGUGAAUAAAGUGAAUAAAAAAAGAAGUAACGAACUCGGAGCCGCGUCCGUUUCUUUCUUUCGUCCAAUUUUCGCGGGGUCAGUUUAUUCAUGUCCAACCAACUAGCCGAAAUCGGUACCCUUACUUAAACCCCGUGCUCAGCCGCAGAGGGCCAUAUAUCAGCCGAGAUAGCGCGGCAGGUGACUGCGGGUACAUGAAGCGGUUCGAGUCAGUACGUGCGGGCUGCUCGACGUCGGAAUGACGGCACGACCCCAGCAAAAAUAACAUAUGACACAUAUGCCACAUACCCAAUAACCUCGCAUGAUACGACGAGAUAAUUAGAUACGCGGCGUAUUAAAUUUUUCUAUUUUUUUAUGGAUGAAAACGAAGCAGGCAUUAGGACACCAAGAGUCGUCAAGGUCGAGCCCUAAAUUUGCACUUUUUUUUUCUCUCUUCCUCUUUUCUGCCGCACCUACAUUUUGAAAGCGACGUACAAACUGCAGUCACGCACAACCCGGUGGCAGCAGCCAACGUGCAGAACGCCGAUUAUAUACACUGCGCAACGUCAAUCAGGGUAGCACGCGACUAUUUCGAAGGUCGCAGCAAUGGUGGAAGCGAGAAACCGGAAUUCGGAAUGACCAGCGCCGGAAAAGGCAAGGAGGAAGGGGAGCUGGGUGUGGAAGCGGUAUGCGGAAGUGCGACGUCGGAACCGAAGCUGGAAAUCGAUACGCCACGAAGCAGCGCCGUUUCCACGAACGUUGUCCGCGCGCAAUAGGAGAGAACAGCAUCUAUAGCGGCAACGUCGCGAACAGUCGAUCGGUCUUGCGGGCGCCAGUGCGCAGUACACGCACGGCUGGCCAAAUCACCGGAAGGGCGAACCUUUUUGACCCGCGAAGACUACAACGCCAGACCAGGGCCCGCAUUCACAAAAACUUCUUAGGCUUGAAUUGUUUGUAAGAAUUUCAGCCAAUCCGGAUGCAAGACAUAUUAUUUAUCUAAGGCGGCCAAGCUAGCCAAUGGCAAAGAACACUUGCGAAAGAAAGGCUUCUGUCAAUCCGGCCCCAGGCUUGCUGCCGAGUAAGGUCGACGAUUUGGGCUAAUUGGCAACCGAACAACUUGAAAAGGCGAGAGGGCGGGAAACGGGAGCCGGGGGAACACAACACAAUGAAUAAAGUGAACCAAACACAUACGCUGAAGGUUUUUCUCUUUUCUUUUCUGGGGGAAGGUAUAGAUCACGGCAGAGCAGGCUAUCCCGAAAUCCCACAUUGUUUCGCCCACUCUCUUCUUUGUGGUGUGUUCUGUGAGCUGCCCAUCUUAUCAAGGUGCAGUUGAGAAUGGGAUGUUCUUCCACGUGAACGUGCUUGAGAUAUGAACUUUUUUUUUUUUUUUGCCCAUAACACAUUGCUAUUUCGCUCUUGUGAGGCGAACGAAAGAAAAGGAAGCAAAAAAAAAGACGUGGCAGCGGAGGUUCUCUCCAGCGCUGCAUGUCUGCACGCGCAGUUCCGCAAGUGGAGAAUAAGGCGCCACUGGCACAGUUCAUUGCACCAACUCUGCCGCGGAUAAAUGAGGCUUUCAGCUAUGCAAGCGACUCCUGCCUCUUUUCGAGUCUAUGCUUUGUAAACAAACAAAAAAGGAAUGAAAUAUAGAAAGAGAGAGAAGAGAGUAAUUGCCUGACAAUUCUUAUCGUAUUUGCCAUGAACAUCGAUCGACACGCGCCUCGGCUCCUUGUCGUAUAUAGUGCUACGGUGUUUUGAACCGCACAGAUAACGCGGAUUAAAAUUCAUCUACAGGCCUUUCAAGAAAGGCCAACAAACACUACUUCCGAGAACGAAGUCGCCGAUUCCAUUCCAGACCACGUGGGCGCCUCAUUCCGACGGCAGUGGAAUGCGAAAACCCAAGUGCGCUGCUGUUACGAAAUAUGACUGAUCCUCGCACGACUGGAUCCCCGCACUUGUGCCGUGUCUGCAGAAACUGUACCGCUUACGUCACUUUUAGAAGUUAGCGCUAGAGCACUAGUGUAGCUGAGGCCGGAAUCGGCAAGAUUAUUGUCGUAUACAGCUCACUGUCUAAGAGAGAGAAUAAACUUUAAUGAGAAUGAUCGAUGGCUCAGUGGUGAGGAUCAUGAACAAAAAUAAAAGAAAUAAAAGAAGAAAGACAAGAACACGCGCAUAACCUGCCGGCCAAGCCGGCCUCGCGCAACAACUCCCGAAGAGUUUAUAGAUCGCAAGGCGUCGUCCUGACGGUGUGUGCUAUGUGCUAAUUGGACAUCGACUAAAUAAAGAAAAUCGAAAACAAUUGGCUUCGGGAAUUCGCACAUCAUGUCGCUCAGCAGAAAAACCGUUAUCGGGCUAGAUAACGUGUACAUAAGCGAGUUUCUCCCUAACAACGAAACGCACAAGGACACACUGAGGCGCAGGGGCUGGCAUGAAGUGACAUUUAAACAGGCUAUUCUCUGUGACGAGGGUGGAAAGUCAAUUGUUCUGUCACAGAGAAAGCGACAGCGGCACGCUAGAUGUGCCGGAGAACAAAAAAAAAAAAAAAAUCAAGAGACUGAAAAGUCCACGUCGCUGACCUCAUAAACGAAGCGUAUAACUCCAAACCAAGGACGUUGGUGUCCACAGACGAGUUGGAUUCAGAACACCACAUGCAAAGAGGAAGGCCCAGACCAGGACCUCGUUUCGCGUUAUCUUUUUUUUUUCCUCCUCUCUCGUUUGCACAUGCCCUGUAGUGAUCACCGUAAUCCCAGUAAUUAAUAUCCGUGAUAGCAGCUCCUGCGUUCAGCAGUGUCAUGGUAAAGAUCGAAGGCUGUCGCUAUUAACAUCCACACUACUUUCAUACAAGGCACUUUUCAGCCAAAGAAAACGAAAGGAAAGAGAAUAUUUCUGGUCUUUACGUAAAUACGGAUGAAUAGGUGAACUAUUUGGUCUUACCACCAGCGUGAAACGACAUCCAGUGCUAAAAGCCGUUAAAAAGAAAAGGAAACAAUGCAAGCGCUUAAUGGGCAAGAUGGGAGAGGCGGCAUCCAGGCAGGCAAUGACGAGCAACUUCGCACGGACACACACGCGCGCGCGUCCUUUUCGCCGUCGACUCGCCGCCGGUAGCCGGCCACGCCGAGAGCAGAGAUCCUCGCCAAGGUCAAAUUUCCCAAGCCGCGCGCGCGCGCGUACCUAAUUGCCGCUCAAGCGUCACUGUCUCUCUCUCUCCUCCAUAAAACAGCAGCAGCAGCAGCAGCAGCA